CAAGUCUUAUCGGGGAUCACUCGGUUCGUAGGCGAUGAAAAACGGGCCAAACCCGUAUUUGGCGUGAAUUGCAGACAUAUUGAGCGCUAAAAUUUUGAACGCAAAUGGCACUAACAGGUUUCUAUCUGUUAGUAUGUUCAAUUGAGGGUCUUU
This 153-nucleotide ribosomal RNA is filed under the name Steinernema sp. YNd8. RNAcentral describes it as "5.8S ribosomal RNA". It matches the Rfam family "5.8S ribosomal RNA". From Rfam's summary of the family: 5.8S ribosomal RNA (5.8S rRNA) is a component of the large subunit of the eukaryotic ribosome. It is transcribed by RNA polymerase I as part of the 45S precursor that also contains 18S and 28S rRNA. Lineage: Eukaryota; Metazoa; Nematoda; Chromadorea; Rhabditida; Steinernematidae. The record is from RNAcentral.